AUUUCAUCACCUAUUUUGCUCCUGAUUUUAUGAAACCUGGGCAUGAUCAGUAUGUUCAUCGACAUGCCAAUGGAUUGUGCAUAAUUGGGUUGGCUCCGACCCACAUUGCUUUUAAGGAUGAAGGCGGAGUUACUUCGGUUGAUUUCAAUGUGGGGAAGUCUGAUCGGAGUGGAAUCAAGGUCUCUGGAAAGCGAAAAAAGAACGCUCAACAUUUUGAGUCUAAUACAGCAUUAUGUAAAGCCUGCACAAAGGAUGGUUCUUAUAUUGUGAGGUGUUGUGUGAAAGGCUCGUUAUUAGAAGUCAAUGAUAGGUUAAUUAAGCAACCAGAAUUGCUGAACUCAUCGGCAGGCAGAGAAGGAUAUAUUGCAAUUAUAAUGCCAAGGCCCGCAGAUUGGAUCAAGGCCAAGACAUCUUUGCUGGGCAUUGAAGAAUAUAGAGAGUUGAGAAAGGAUACAUUGCAAUUAUAAACAAGCAAGGUGGCAAAUCAGCUCAUUGAAGGCAGCAUUUUGCAGGAUUGGAGUUUACGUUGUUGGAAAAUUUUGCAGGAUGUUCUCUCUCUGUAACAGUAAGCUCUACUACUUCACUACACACUUCUGCUAUUGGUAUACAGAAGAACAGUAUCAAACUUAAUUGAUGUUCUUGUUGUACUUUUCUGGUAUAUUAUUUGGAUGGGGUGGAGUUUACUUGUCCACACUGCUCCAUCACUCCAUAUUUUGUUUUUCAGAGCAAUAUGAUAAAAAAACGUUUAGUCCAUAGUUACUAUAUGAAAAUGUAACAUGUCUAUUAUAUUGCUAAUUUGCUAGAACAUGAAA
RNAcentral lists this unclassified non-coding RNA (812 nucleotides) under Hevea brasiliensis (rubber tree). The record is from RNAcentral. Lineage: Eukaryota; Viridiplantae; Streptophyta; Magnoliopsida; Malpighiales; Euphorbiaceae.